Molecule: ribosomal RNA, 447 nt
Filed under: uncultured bacterium
Lineage: Bacteria
Description: bacterial SSU rRNA
Rfam family: Bacterial small subunit ribosomal RNA
Source: RNAcentral
UGGGGAAUAUUGCGCAAUGGGCGAAAGCCUGAUCCAGCCAUGCCGCGUGAGUGACGAAGGCCUUAGGGUUGUAAAACUCUUUCGUCGGGGACGAUAAUGACGGUACCCGAAGAAGAAGCUCCGGCUAACUUCGUGCCAGCAGCCGCGGUAAUACGAAGGGAGCUAGCGUUGUUCGGAAUCACUGGGCGUAAAGCGCACGUAGGCGGAUAGUUAAGUCAGGGGUGAAAUCCUGGGGCUCAAUCCCAGAACUGCCUUUGAUACUGGCUGUCUCGAGGUCGAGAGAGGUUGGUGGAAUUCCUAGUGUAGAGGUGAAAUUCGUAGAUAUUAGGAAGAACACCAGUGGCGAAGGCGGCCAACUGGCUCGAUACUGACGCUGAGGUGCGAAAGCGUGGGGAGCAAACAGGAUUAGAUACCCCCGUAGUCCCUGAGCGGGCUGGCAAGGCGCAU